GGCACGGGAGGAGGGAGGGAAGAAAGGGCCAAGGCAGCAGAAACGAGACACACAGGAGAGGCGGCGAGAGCGGGCUCAGCCUUGCGCAGCACCUGCCGUCCGCGCGCCCAGCGGGCCCGGGGGCGGACGGCAGCGAAGAGCCGAGCAGCGAGCGGGGCAGCGCCGGGCUGCCGGGAGGGCGGCCCCAGCAAGGGGCCAGGCCGCGGCGGAGCUCACCCACAGCCGGCGGCGGCCCGGGCCCGCGCGCACCCCAGCGGCCCCGGCCCAGCACGAGGGGAUUUUCGCGGCCUCCCGCUCCGCAGCGGCCCGCACGCCGCCUCCUCACGCCGCCGCCUCGCGCCACCCCGCGCGGCCCGAGGGGCUCCGGGCGGCACCGCCCCGCGGCCUCCCGUAGGAAGCCCGAAUGGGACCCGCCGCCUCUCGGCCGCGGCUUCGGCCUCGGCCCCCGCUCCCCCCGGCCUGCCGACGCCGAACCGCCGGGCCGGGCCGGGCGGCGACGCUCGAGCUCUCGGCGAGCCGCAGGCCUCGCGGGGUGAGCCGGCCCGGCGGCCCGGGCAAGGCGCCGAUAAAGGUUUCCCCGCGCCUCUCCUGCCCCCGUCGCUCACCUCGGCUUCGCGGAGCCCCUUCGCCAGAGCCGACCCCUCCUCAGCGCCGCGGGGAGGCGGAGGAAGAGGCAAAGCGGCGGCGACGGCCCGAGCCCCGGAGCAGACGGCGGCCAGCGGCAUCCAUGGCGCUCCGCCCGGUACGGGAUUGGUGGGAGGAGGAGGAGCCGGCGCCGGCCGCGCUGCCGCUAGGGGCGCUGUGAGAGCGGCCCGCGCCUCCCGCCGCCCCCUACGGCGCCGAGGCGGGGGAACGGCUUCGGGCCGGCGCGGCCCCCGCCGCCUCGUACGGCCGCGUCGGCGCCCCGCUUUUCCGCCUGCACGGCCGCCUCUGGGCUGCGGCUGCGCUGCGGCGCCUCUUCGAGGCCGGCGGCCUCUCGGAGCGCAGGGUCGGGGCCCCGCGCUUCCUUUUGGCUGCUCGCGGGGCGAAGCCCCAGACUCGACUUCCUACCUCGGCGGGGUGCCGGCCUCGGCGCCCGUGCCCGUGCCCGCGCCUGGCCUCCCCAGGGCCCGGCUGCCCUCGGCGGCGCGGAGGGGCUGGGGGACGUGCCGUGUCCGCGCGGCCUGCAGCGGGGAGCCCGGACCUGCUGCUCUUCGGCCUGCGUAG
RNAcentral lists this long non-coding RNA (1206 nucleotides) under Phasianus colchicus (ring-necked pheasant). RNAcentral's name for it is "lncRNA (ENSPCLG00000008050.1)". The record is from RNAcentral. Lineage: Eukaryota; Metazoa; Chordata; Aves; Galliformes; Phasianidae.